RNAcentral lists this ribosomal RNA (510 nucleotides) under uncultured bacterium. Its description in RNAcentral is "partial 16S ribosomal RNA". It matches the Rfam family "Bacterial small subunit ribosomal RNA", at positions 28 to 507 of the family's 1533-position model. The record is from RNAcentral.
GACGAACGCUGGCGGCGUGCUUAACACAUGCAAGUCGAACGAAGAGAGAUGGAGGUUUGCUUCCUUACGUCUUCGUGGCGCACGGGUGAGUCACGCGUAAUCCCCCUCUACUUCAGUGGGGGACCACAGUUGGACACGACUGCUUAUACCGCAUACGAUCUAAUCUCGGCAUCGAGGAUAGAUGAAAGGUGGUCUCUACACGUAUGCUUUCACUGAAGGCGGGGUUUGCGUCUGAUUAGCUAGUUGGUGGGGUAACGGACCACCAAGGCGAAGAUCAGGAGGCGGACUGAGGGGAGGAACGGCCAAAACGGGACUUGGACACGGCCCAAACUCCUACGGGGAGCAGCAGUUGGGGAACCUCCGCAAUUGACGAAAGUCUGACGGGGGAACGCCGGGUGAGGGGUGACGGGUCUCGGGUUGUUAAGCUCUGGUAAUCGGGGCGAAAGGCCUGCGUGCGAAUAGAUAGAAGGAUUGACGGUACCGGAAUAGAAAGCCACGGCUAACUACGUG